AUGAGGUCUCCCACCCUUUGUGGGUUAAGGCCCCCAACAGACCAUUGGGUUGAUAGGCCAGAAAUGGACGCACAGUAAUGUGUUUUGAGUUGACUGGUACUAAUAGGCCGAGGACUUGCCCAC
This 123-nucleotide ribosomal RNA is filed under the name Amycolatopsis marina. RNAcentral describes it as "Bacterial large subunit ribosomal RNA". It matches the Rfam family "Bacterial large subunit ribosomal RNA", at positions 2804 to 2925 of the family's 2925-position model. Lineage: Bacteria; Bacillati; Actinomycetota; Actinomycetes; Pseudonocardiales; Pseudonocardiaceae. The record is from Rfam by way of RNAcentral.